GCGCUGGAAUACAAGGGUUGAGACCAGAUUCCUAAUCUGGGGGUCCCGCGUUCGAAUCGCGGCGGGAUCACCA
RNAcentral lists this transfer RNA (73 nucleotides) under Sinorhizobium sp. GL2. Its description in RNAcentral is "tRNA-Arg". The record is from RNAcentral. Lineage: Bacteria; Pseudomonadati; Pseudomonadota; Alphaproteobacteria; Hyphomicrobiales; Rhizobiaceae.